UGGGGAAUUUUGGACAAUGGGCGAAAGCCUGAUCCAGCAAUGCCGCGUGUGUGAAGAAGGCCUUCGGGUUGUAAAGCACUUUUGUCCGGAAAGAAAUCCUUGGCUCUAAUACAGUCGGGGGAUGACGGUACCGGAAGAAUAAGCACCGGCUAACUACGUGCCAGCAGCCGCGGUAAUACGUAGGGUGCAAGCGUUAAUCGGAAUUACUGGGCGUAAAGCGUGCGCAGGCGGUUUGCUAAGACCGAAUGUGAAAAUCCCCGGGCGUCAACCUAGGGCAACUGGCAAUUGGUGGAUGCUGGGCAGGGCUAGAGUAUGGCAGAGGGGGUGAAAUCCACGUGUAGCAGUGAAAAUGCGUAGAGAUGUGGAGGAAUACCGAUGGCGAAGGCGGCCCCCUGGGCCAAUACUGACGCUCAUGCACGAAAAGCGUGGGGAGCAAAACAGGAUUAGAUACCCUGGUAGUCCACGCCCUAAAACGAUGUCAACUAGUUGUUGGGGAUUCAUUUCCUUAGUAAACGUAGCUAACGCGUGAAGUUGACCGCCUGGGGAGUAACGGUCGCAAAGAUUAAAAACUUAAAAGGAAAUUGACGGGGGUCAUAGCUG
RNAcentral lists this ribosomal RNA (600 nucleotides) under uncultured bacterium. RNAcentral's name for it is "partial 16S ribosomal RNA". It matches the Rfam family "Bacterial small subunit ribosomal RNA", at positions 355 to 928 of the family's 1533-position model. The record is from RNAcentral.